Hydra vulgaris (swiftwater hydra) is the source of this 618-nucleotide non-coding RNA. The record is from RefSeq and is a predicted model, not a curated record. NCBI's taxonomy places the organism in Eukaryota, Metazoa, Cnidaria, Hydrozoa, Anthoathecata, Hydridae.
UGUAAGGAUUUUUUUUUUAUUUAGUAUUUUUAUUUAGAUUUUUUUUUUUAUUCAUUGGAUAAGUUUUUAAGAAUUUUGGAGCCCUUAUGACAGGUUUUUUUCUUUUGAAUGGGAGGGGGGCUUGUAUGUAGUAGUCACGGCACUGUAUAUAAGAUAUAUACAAUGUAUAUUAAAUUAUAUACAAUAUAAAUAAAAAAAUAUAUUUAUUUAUUAAUUUUAUAUAAUUUAUUUAUCAGUAACUAAAGGAAUGUUAUCAAUUUAUUAUACGAAUGUUAUCAAUUUAUUAUAAGCAUGUGCUUAUCUAUUACAAGUACAUUUUAAAACGUUGAAAUAAACGUCGAUUAUAAAAUUAAAGGUUAUCUGUUUCUACCUUCGAUGGUGAAAAUUACAUCUUUUAUCUGAAGGGUGUUAAGAGAAAUCUUCAUAUUGAAACAAGAUAUUGUGUAAAAAGGUUUUCAAAGAAGUCGUUUUAACAACAAUGGAAAAGCUUCCAAUUCCUGAGAUAACCGUGAAAGCAUUCGAUACAUGAUUAAAGAAUCGUUUAAAAGUUUGCUUAAUUUCGACAGUGUAAUUUUAAUUACUAUUUUUUUGAAAUAAACCAAUCAAUUUAUAUAUAAA